This 84-nucleotide transfer RNA is filed under the name Spongospora subterranea. Its description in RNAcentral is "tRNA-Tyr". It matches the Rfam family "tRNA". Rfam says of the family: Transfer RNA (tRNA) molecules are approximately 80 nucleotides in length. Their secondary structure includes four short double-helical elements and three loops (D, anti-codon, and T loops). The record is from RNAcentral. Lineage: Eukaryota; Endomyxa; Phytomyxea; Plasmodiophorida; Plasmodiophoridae.
GAAAGAAUGGCUGAGUGGUUAAAGGCGGUAGACUGUAAAUUUACUAAUUAAUUAUUUACGUAGGUUCGAAUCCUAUUUCUUUCA